ACCGCUGGCGGCAGGCCUAACACAUGCAAGUCGAGCGGAUGAAGGGAGCUUGCUCCUGGAUUCGCGGCGGACGGGUGAGUAAUGCCUAGGAAUCUGCCUGGUAGUGGGGGAUAACGUCCGGAAACGGGCGCUAAUACCGCAUACGUCCUGAGGGAGAAAGUGGGGGAUCUUCGGACCUCACGCUAUCAGAUGAGCCUAGGUCGGAUUAGCUAGUUGGUGGGGUAAAGGCCUACCAAGGCGACGAUCCGUAACUGGUCUGAGAGGAUGAUCAGUCACACUGGAACUGAGACACGGUCCAGACUCCUACGGGAGGCAGCAGUGGGGAAUAUUGGACAAUGGGCGAAAGCCUGAUCCAGCCAUGCCGCGUGUGUGAAGAAGGUCUUCGGAUUGUAAAGCACUUUAAGUUGGGAGGAAGGGCAGUAAGUUAAUACCUUGCUGUUUUGACGUUACCAACAGAAUAAGCACCGGCUAACUUCGUGCCAGCAGCCGCGGUAAUACGAAGGGUGCAAGCGUUAAUCGGAAUUACUGGGCGUAAAGCGCGCGUAGGUGGUUCAGCAAGUUGGAUGUGAAAUCCCCGGGCUCAACCUGGGAACUGCAUCCAAAACUACUGAGCUAGAGUACGGUAGAGGGUGGUGGAAUUUCCUGUGUAGCGGUGAAAUGCGUAGAUAUAGGAAGGAACACCAGUGGCGAAGGCGACCACCUGGACUGGAUUCUUACAU
RNAcentral lists this ribosomal RNA (719 nucleotides) under Pseudomonas aeruginosa. Its description in RNAcentral is "bacterial SSU rRNA". It matches the Rfam family "Bacterial small subunit ribosomal RNA", at positions 32 to 746 of the family's 1533-position model. The record is from RNAcentral. Lineage: Bacteria; Pseudomonadati; Pseudomonadota; Gammaproteobacteria; Pseudomonadales; Pseudomonadaceae.